This is a long non-coding RNA of Mytilus californianus (California mussel), 2660 nucleotides long. RefSeq lists it as uncharacterized. The transcript is spliced from 2 exons. NCBI's taxonomy places the organism in Eukaryota, Metazoa, Mollusca, Bivalvia, Mytilida, Mytilidae. The record is from RefSeq and is a predicted model, not a curated record.
GUGAACAGUUGGUUCGCACUUGUUUGGUUUGUUGCCGUGUUAAGCUUUGACACAAUAACUAAUGAAAUUCGUAUUUUUAUUGCAUCAGGUGGACAAUGUUCAAUGCUAUUUUUAAACUUCGGAAAUUCCAUUUUUAAUUCUUAUAUAAAACCGUUUGUGCUAUAAUAUUUUGAACUAUAUUACAUGUGCACGUUUCAUCAUUAGACAUAGAUGUGUGGAAGAUUUUAUAAACCGUGGACCUCAACAAACACAUGGAUUAUAAACUGGAAGUGACUGUAAUAUUUAGACAAUACUGAAUUCCGAAUUUUGGACUUAUAAAGAUAAUAAUUUGUGAUUUAUCUGGUAUGAUGUAUCCAUUCAUACAGCUGAUGUACGUUUUUGAGCUCUCUGUGACACUUUUGGCAGUUGCAAGACAAACACCAAGUGUAGGAUUAUACAAUCUAGCCUUCCAAAGAAGAUCGAAAAAUGAAACAAAAUCGUACAAUUUUGUGUGGAGGCCAAUUUCACAAAUAGCCCCCUUUCAAUUAACCAUGCACCAAUUAUUUAGUGUGCCGACUGGUGGAAUGUUGAAAGCAGAAUUAUCAUUAACGACUAGAAGCAAGACAAAGAAAUUUAAGGCUGCCGCUUGUAUAACUCUUAUACGCACAAAUCAGAAAACCUGUCAGAGAAUAUUUGGUGUACCAGGAAAAAGAAAACAGUUCGUCAGUCAGUUAAUUCUUCAUGAGGUAUUUGAAGUCCAGAAAGAUGAUAAACUUGAAGUGUCAAUUCCACGUGGAAAAAAAUAUAUCUAUCAAGUCGGGGAGUACAAUCGCCUUCGAUUAUACUAUUUAUAGAAUUGCUAGAAGAUUGUUAAUAUUUUGUUGAAUACAGUGAAUGACAGAAAUUUCAGACAGUUUACAAUAUUGUCAUAUAAUUUUGAAACAACUUCAGUUUUUAAGUUACAUAACUACAAUUUAUAUAAUGCCAUUUCUCGUUUAAGUAAUUCCUCGUCGAAAUCUUGGUGUCAUAAAAUUAUAUUUGGAAAAAGCAGUAUAUGCAUUGAAUGUGUGCAAAGUAUUAAAGAAGAUCUGUCAUAUUUGGUGGGAAGAAAAACCUCAUAAAAUCCCUAAACUGCUUGCUAGUAUUUCUAGAUUUGAUAGAAAAACAAUGGAUAUGGGGUAUCCAUCCAUGACACAAAAUCAGUAAAUGCACAACAACAAAAAAACAUACAAAAAGCAAAGGAACAGCGCUUUUAUUGCUGUUCUUCAUCUCAAAGUCACAGUGAGACCUCAACACGGAGCAAAAAAACUCUUACCUCACUGCAAGUUUUAUACGGCCCCUAGCACCGGCUUUAGCGGAAAUCUUUGCAAAAAUAAUUUGGAUAGACUUUGUAAGAUGUAACACCACCCAAUCGGGCCCAAAAUAGUUCCUACGCACAGGUGUACAUCUUAAACUAUGUAGCAUAUAUUUUAGUAAUUAAAAAAUCAAAUGAAAGGUGAAGGACUGGUGAUCCUUGUAGAGCACACAAUUUACUGAUAAUUUUGAAUAUUACAAAAAUGUAUGAUUGAAUUAUAUAAUUGAGGGCAAAUAUAGCCUGUUUCUCAAGCUGUGGUCACACCUUACCGGAUAGCUCGAACGGACGCCGAACGGAUGAAAAAAAGUUUUCCGUUGACAAAUUUUUUAUCUGUUGGGGGUCCUGUUGUACUGACAAAAUAAAACGGACGGGUAACGAAUGCCUAACGGACACACACAGGAUAUGCAACGUACGAGAAACGGAAACGUACCGGACAGAACGGAUGUCGAACGUACAUCCAACGGACGAGUACCGCAUAAAACCGAAUUGAAAAAAAGUUAUCUGUUCGAAUUCGGCGUCCGUACGCGCUAUCCGGUAAGGUGUGACCGGGGCUUCAGAUAUGAAAUGCCUGGUUUGGUGUAUCCAAAAUUCCGGUAACCAGUGCAGAACGGUCUGACUAUUCCUGGAGUGUAACCGUAACCCUUUCUGUGCUUUAUAACUUCAUAACUUCAAAGCAUCUUAACACCAAUAUGUACACAUGAUCAGGUUGUAAAAUAACGUGUGAAUAAUGUUGUCACACAACAGAUAGGAAAGCGAAUGCAGAGAUAAACAAUUACGUACGUAAGAUUUCGUAGAUGGUAAUAUUCUAAUGUCUUUUUUUAUAUUACCGUUUUUUCAUAUUUCCAUCUUACGUCAAAUUCUAAAUCUUUACUAUAACCGGCUGUUUUGAAAUUAUAUUUGGUACAACAUACGUGUUUGUUAUAUUCGAAACAUGAAGAUCGGCCCCCAGUAUACUACUCGCUCCUUUUAUAUGAAAAAAAAUCAAACUUAAAUCGUUUAAGUGAAGAAGUCGAACGAUGUAUAAAAAUAUCAUGUUUAUUCAAGUUUGCGAACGCUACAAUUUUGUAGACAAUUAACAUUUGUAUAUUUUAUAAGCUGGACUAGUUGUCUUCGGGUCGAAUUGACUUGUACCUUCAAGUUAACCGGUACAAAAUGGCAUCUUUCACUUGAUAUGUGUUCAUCAGUUUAAUAAUUCUAUAAUUUUUUAGAGUUUCAUGAUCUUAACCUCGUGAAUGAUUUGAGUUGUUAGAAAUCUGACACUUGUUUAACAACCAUACAAAGCGAUGUAGAAUUAAGUACUGUUGAACAUUAAACGAUAAGAUGUAAA